This 137-nucleotide ribosomal RNA is filed under the name Microcebus murinus (gray mouse lemur). Lineage: Eukaryota; Metazoa; Chordata; Mammalia; Primates; Cheirogaleidae. The record is from RNAcentral.
GUCUACGGCCAUACCACCCUGAACGUGCCCGAUCUCGUCUGAUCUCGGAAGCUAAGCAGGGUCGGGCCUGGUUAGUACUUGGACGGCAGAUGUGCCCAAGCAAAGCUCUUGCACGUGGGCACCAGAAGCUGUCAAGA